RNAcentral lists this ribosomal RNA (468 nucleotides) under uncultured bacterium. RNAcentral describes it as "partial 16S ribosomal RNA". It matches the Rfam family "Bacterial small subunit ribosomal RNA", at positions 28 to 507 of the family's 1533-position model. The record is from RNAcentral.
GACGAACGCUGGCGGCGUGCUUAACACAUGCAAGUCGAACGGAAAGGCCCUGCUUUUGUGGGGUGCUCGAGUGGCGAACGGGUGAGUAACACGUGAGUAACCUGCCCUUGACUUUGGGAUAACUUCAGGAAACUGGGGCUAAUACCGGAUAGGAGCUCCUGCUGCAUGGUGGGGGUUGGAAAGUUUCGGCGGUUGGGGAUGGACUCGCGGCUUAUCAGCUUGUUGGUGGGGUAGUGGCUUACCAAGGCUUUGACGGGUAGCCGGCCUGAGAGGGUGACCGGCCACAUUGGGACUGAGAUGCGGCCCAGACUCCUACGGGAGGCAGCAGCGGGGAAUAUUGCACAAUGGGCGGAAGCCUGAUGCAGCAACGCCGCGUGCGGGAUGACGGCCUUCGGGUUGUAAACCGCUUUCGCCUGUGACGAAGCGUGAGUGACGGUAAUGGGUAAAGAAGCACCGGCUAACUACGUG